This 252-nucleotide ribosomal RNA is filed under the name uncultured bacterium. RNAcentral's name for it is "partial 16S ribosomal RNA". It matches the Rfam family "Bacterial small subunit ribosomal RNA", at positions 524 to 776 of the family's 1533-position model. The record is from RNAcentral.
UACGUAGGUGGCGAGCGUUGUCCGGAUUACUGGGCGUAAAGGGCGUGCAGGCGGUUUGUUAAGUGCAGGGUGAAAGCUCCCGGCUCAACUGGGAGAGGUCCUUGCAUACUGGCGAACUCGAGGGAGGCAGAGGAAAGCGGAAUUCCCGGUGUAGUGGUGAUAUGCGUAGAUAUCGGGAGGAACACCUGUGGCGAAGGCGGCUUUCUGGGCCUUACCUGACGCUGAGACGCGAAAGCGUGGGGAGCGAACCGG